UACGGAGGGUCCAAGCGUUAUCCGGAAUCAUUGGGUUUAAAGGGUGCGCAGGCGGUAGUGUAAGUCAGUGGUGAAAUCUCUCGUCUCAACCGAGAAACUGCCAUUGAUACUGCAGUACCUGAAUACAGUUGAAGUAGGCGGAAUGUGUAGUGUAGCGGUGAAAUGCUUAGAUAUUACACAGAACACCGAUAGCGAAGGCAGCUUACUAAACUGAUAUUGACGCUCAUGCACGAAAGCGUGGGGAGCGAACAGGAUUAGAACCGUACGUCGUG
Molecule: ribosomal RNA, 272 nt
Filed under: uncultured bacterium
Lineage: Bacteria
Description: partial 16S ribosomal RNA
Rfam family: Bacterial small subunit ribosomal RNA
Source: RNAcentral